This is a long non-coding RNA of Plodia interpunctella (Indianmeal moth), 401 nucleotides long. RefSeq lists it as uncharacterized. The transcript has 3 exons. NCBI's taxonomy places the organism in Eukaryota, Metazoa, Arthropoda, Insecta, Lepidoptera, Pyralidae. The record is from RefSeq and is a predicted model, not a curated record.
CCACAGGAGAACCAACAACAUAAUUUAUUUUGACCAAUUUUUAAAACUUAGGUAUUUUCCGAAUGUGGCUAAGUUAACCAAAAUCGCCCUCCACUGAGCCUUAAGUAAGUUAGCAUCAACACAUUGGAUGUAACGAUUAGCUGUCUGGAACAGCCGUGAAGACUGAUCGAUGGAGAGGAAUGAGGUUUGCUGGGUGGUCCUGCCUUUUGAUCUUGCAAGGCUACUAGCUUAAACAUAAAGGAUACAUUACCUUUCAUGUUUAAUUACAAGGCUGUUUUGAUCAAAUAACAAAAGUACACUUACCAUCAAAACAAGCGUACUUGAUGUAUACGACGCCCAGUGGCCACCUGACUGCAGGAGGGUAGUCCUCUUGGAGUAUGAAGUUGCAGUGGUUCACUCCG